Long non-coding RNA from Anguilla anguilla (European eel), 418 nucleotides. RefSeq lists it as uncharacterized. The transcript is spliced from 3 exons. The record is from RefSeq and is a predicted model, not a curated record. NCBI's taxonomy places the organism in Eukaryota, Metazoa, Chordata, Actinopteri, Anguilliformes, Anguillidae.
AAUGGCGCUAAUCGCAUUCGCCUUGAACAUUCCGAUUCCGUCAAAUUGUUUUUCUCCUCGAGUAUCAACAGUCAGUUUUAACAAUGAAGAGGAAGAGGACCCUAAAAUAUUUAUUUUUUUGCUUGUCUGCAGCCCCACACGCAGCUGUGGUCCUCAUCUAUCAGAGCUGACCAUGCGGAGGAGAAGCUGUGUACAUAUGAGUUUUUUUUUUUGUUUUUUUUUGCUAUGCACCACGUUUGGUGUAGAUUAGUGUAUUACUACUGCCAGUCUUACAUACUUACAUACUUACCUUUUUGCAAUCAAAUGACUAAAACUCAUUUGACUGCAUAGUAGUAUGGGGGAUUGUCUGUAGUAAUGCACUUAUGGAGAGCGGGGCCUGGACAAUUUUUCCAUUUUUUUUUACUUCCCCAAAAUCAGG